GCCGCCGUAGCUCAGCCGGUAGAGCGCCGGCCUUGUAAGCCGGUGGUCGCGGGUUCAAGUCCCGCCGGCGGCU
RNAcentral lists this transfer RNA (73 nucleotides) under Sulfolobales archaeon SCGC AB-777_J03. RNAcentral's name for it is "tRNA-Thr". It matches the Rfam family "tRNA". Rfam says of the family: Transfer RNA (tRNA) molecules are approximately 80 nucleotides in length. RNAcentral also lists the same sequence under 4 other names. The record is from RNAcentral. Lineage: Archaea; Thermoproteati; Thermoproteota; Thermoprotei; Sulfolobales.